CACAUGCAAGUCGAACGGAGCUGAGAGGAGCUUGCUUUUCUUAGCUUAGUGGCGAACGGGUGAGUAACGCGUGAGUAACCUGCCCUGGAGUGGGGGACAACAGUUGGAAACGACUGCUAAUACCGCAUAAGCCCACGGCCCGGCAUCGGGCUGAGGGAAAAGGAUUUAUUCGCUUCAGGAUGGACUCGCGUCCAAUUAGCUAGUUGGUGAGGUAACGGCCCACCAAGGCGACGAUUGGUAGCCGGACUGAGAGGUUGAACGGCCACAUUGGGACUGAGACACGGCCCAGACUCCUACGGGAGGCAGCAGUGGGGGAUAUUGCACAAUGGGGGAAACCCUGAUGCAGCGACGCCGCGUGGAGGAAGAAGGUUUUCGGAUUGUAAACUCCUGUCGUUAGGGACGAUAAUGACGGUACCUAACAAGAAAGCACCGGCUAACUACGUGCCAGCAGCCGCGGUAAAACGUAGGGUGCAAGCGUUGUCCGGAAUUACUGGGUGUAAAGGGAGCGCAGGCGGACCGGCAAGUUGGAAGUGAAAACUAUGGGCUCAACCCAUAAAUUGCUUUCAAAACUGCUGGCCUUGAGUAGUGCAGAGGUAGGUGGAAUUCCCGGUGUAGCGGUGGAAUGCGUAGAUAUCGGGAGGAACACCAGUGGCGAAGGCGACCUACUGGGCACCAACUGACGCUGAGGCUCGAAAGCAUGGGUAGCAAACAGGAUUAGAUACCCUGGUAGUCCAUGCCGUAAACGAUGAUUACUAGGUGUUGGAGGAUUGACCCCUUCAGUGCCGCAGUUAACACAAUAAGUAAUCCACCUGGGGAGUACGACCGCAAGGUUGAAACUCAAAGGAAUUGACGGAGGCCCGCACAAGCAGUGGAGUAUGUGGUUUAAUUCGAAGCAACGCGAAGAACCUUACCAGGUCUUGACAUCCGAUGCAUAGCUUA
Molecule: ribosomal RNA, 939 nt
Filed under: uncultured bacterium
Lineage: Bacteria
Description: bacterial SSU rRNA
Rfam family: Bacterial small subunit ribosomal RNA
Source: RNAcentral